This 292-nucleotide ribosomal RNA is filed under the name uncultured bacterium. Its description in RNAcentral is "partial 16S ribosomal RNA". It matches the Rfam family "Bacterial small subunit ribosomal RNA", at positions 503 to 796 of the family's 1533-position model. The record is from RNAcentral.
UUGUCAGCAGUCGCGGUAAGACAGAGGCCUCGAGCGUUAGGCGGAAUCACUGGGCUUAAAGCGUGUGUAGGCGGAUCGUUAAGUACCUUGUGAAAUCCCACGGCUCAACCGUGGAACGGCUGGAUAUACUGGCGGUCUUGGGCCAUUCAGGGGCGACUGGAACAAGCGGUGGAGCGGUGAAAUGCGUAGAUAUCGCUUGGAACGCCGAAGGUGAAAACAGGUCGCUGGGGAUGUGCCGACGCUGAGACACGAAAGCCAGGGGAGCAAACGGGAUUAGAUACCCGAGUAGUCG